GAUUGUCUGUUGCAUUAUAAUCAACUUGUUCGGACUCUAAGGAAGGAGAUACUGGCACCAAUUCAUUUAUUGUGGAAUCAACACUUCCAGUCAGAGUGUCUGUUGCACUAUAAUCAACUUGUUCGGACUCUAAGGAAGGGGAUUCUGGCACCAAUUCACUUAUUGUGGUAUCGACACUGCCAGUCAGGUUGUCUGUUGCACUAUAAUCAACUUGUUCGGACUCUAAAGAAGUCACCAUUGGCACCAAUUCACUAUCAUCAGCAUCAACACCGCCAGCCAGAUCAUCUGCUGCACUAUAAUCAACUUGUUCGGACUCUACGGAAAGGGAUACUGGAACCAAUUCGCUAUCAUCAGCAUCAACACCGCCAGCCAGAUCGUCUGCUGCACUAUAAUCAACUUGUUCGGACUCUACAGAAGGGGAUAUUGGCACCAAUCCACUUAUUGCGGCAUCAACACUUCCAGUCAGGUUGUCUAUUACUUGUUCGGACUCUAAAGAAGUCGACAUUGGCACCAAUUCACUAUCAUCAGCAUCAACACUGCCAGCCAGAUCGUCUGCCGCACUAUAAUCAACUCUUUCGGACUCUACGGAAGGGGAUACUAGCACCAAUUCACUAUCAUCAGCAUCAACACCGCCAGCCAGAUUGUUUGCUGCACUAUAAUCAACUUGUUC
Molecule: long non-coding RNA, 670 nt
Filed under: Trifolium pratense (red clover)
Lineage: Eukaryota; Viridiplantae; Streptophyta; Magnoliopsida; Fabales; Fabaceae
Description: long non-coding RNA (TPRA_LNC011637)
Source: RNAcentral